UGAAGAGUAAACCAGGUGCUUUACAUUCACCACACGUCCCUCAGUCUCCACAGCUGUUAGAACAACACAGGAGUCCAUCCCGGGCUCUCAUUCCCUUGUGUGCCCAAGCUCCUAAGGAAACUAUGGAUGUCUUUGAGUUGGUUUCACUGGGGAAGGUUGGGCUCUCCAGUGCCAGGGUUAAAACCCAGGGUUUGCUGCUAGGGGUGCGAUGCAGUGGGAAUCUCUGCCAUUGCUCCCAUGAGACACAGGGCAGGGCGGAGGGGACAUGAAGGCCAAGUCUGCCAACAAAGGGGUCACUCCUGUGCUCUGAUGGCAGGGUGCUGUGUUCUGGGGUGGAGGUUAAAAAGGCAGUGUGUAACCUAAAGGAUUCAACAGUGUGAUUCUGGUCAGGGUCUCAGGGCUAACAAGAGGAAACAGCAUCAGACAGAAAGGUCAUAAGAAAAGAAAAGCCUACCCAGCUACUGCUCCUUUCUCAUAAAAGAAAAAAACAGAGGCAGAGGAGGAAGAGGAGGAGGAGGAGGAGGAGCAAUGAGGAGGAAGCAGAGUUAGCAGCAACGCUCAGGUCUAGCUGGGCCUCAGGACGGCGACAGACCUGGGCCACACUCAAGCUGUUCCUAGCUCUUCAUUUCCUCCUGGCUUGGACCACAACAGAAAAAGAGCUGGAUGUGAUCACUCUCCCACCCUGUGAGCUGAGAGCAAUACAGACUAUCCACAAAGUCUCCAGGCUGUAAUUCCAGAAAAGCCAUUUCAGAAACAAAA
Molecule: long non-coding RNA, 759 nt
Filed under: Mus caroli (Ryukyu mouse)
Lineage: Eukaryota; Metazoa; Chordata; Mammalia; Rodentia; Muridae
Description: predicted gene 43118 (MGP_CAROLIEiJ_G0003732.1)
Source: RNAcentral